Sciurus carolinensis (gray squirrel) is the source of this 5991-nucleotide RNA transcript. It is a transcript of the gene named choline phosphotransferase 1, with no coding region annotated. The transcript is spliced from 9 exons. Lineage: Eukaryota; Metazoa; Chordata; Mammalia; Rodentia; Sciuridae. The record is from RefSeq and is a predicted model, not a curated record.
CUCCGCCUUGGGGGCGGGGGCGGGGGCCGGGACCUGGGGCGGCCCGGCCUGACCUCCACCUCGGCCGAGCGGCCCCGGCGGCGAGCCCCACCCGGCCGGCGCAGGCCCGGGCCGCGAGCCCCUCCCUCCACCUCUCCCGCCCGGCCCGGCGCGCCUGGCGCUCGGUCGAGGCUGCGGGCCCGCAGGCGGCCAUGGCGGCGGGGGCCGGGGCCAGGCCGGCGCCGCGCUGGCUGAAGGCGCUGGGCGAGCCGCUGAGCGCCGCGCAGCUGCGGCGGCUGGAGGAGCAUCGCUACAGCGCGGCCGGCGUCUCGCUGCUGGAGCCGCCGCUGCAGCUCUACUGGACCUGGCUGCUCCAGUGGAUCCCGCUCUGGAUGGCCCCCAACACCAUCACCCUCAUCGGCCUCGCCAUCAACAUGGUCACCACGCUCGUGCUCAUCUCCUACUGCCCCACGGUCACCGAGGAGGCACCAUACUGGACAUACCUUUUAUGUGCCCUGGGACUCUUUAUCUACCAAUCACUGGACGCUAUUGAUGGGAAACAAGCCAGAAGAACAAAUUCUUGUUCUCCUUUAGGGGAACUUUUUGACCAUGGGUGUGACUCUCUUUCCACAGUAUUUAUGGCAGUUGGAGCUUCAAUUGCUGUUCGCUUAGGAACUCAUCCUGACUGGUUGUUUUUCUGCUCUUUUAUUGGGAUGUUCAUGUUUUACUGUGCUCAUUGGCAGACCUACGUUUCAGGCAUGUUGAGAUUUGGAAAAGUGGAUGUAACUGAGAUUCAGGUAGCUCUAGUGAUCGUCUUUUUGUUGACUACAUUUGGAGGAGCAACAAUGUGGGACUACACAAUACCCAUUCUAGAAAUAAAAUUGAAGAUCUUUCCAGUUCUUGGAGUAGUAGGUGGAGCAAUAUUUUCCUGUUCAAAUUAUUUCCAUGUUAUCCUCCAUGGUGGUGUUGGCAAGAAUGGAUCCACUAUAGCAGGCACCAGUGUUUUGUCACCUGGACUACACAUAGGACUAAUUAUUAUACUGGCAAUAAUGAUCUAUAAAAAGUCAGCAACUAAUGUUUUUGAAAAGCAUCCUUGUCUGUAUACCCUAAUGUUUGGGUGUGUCUUUGCUAAAGUUGCACAAAAAUUAGUGAUAGCUCACAUGACCAAAAGUGAACUGUAUCUUCAAGACACUGUCUUUGUUGGGCCAGGUCUUUUGUUUUUAGACCAGUACUUUAAUAAUUUUGUAGAUGAAUAUGUUGUUCUAUGGAUAGCAAUGGUCAUUUCUUCAUUUGAUAUGAUGAUAUACUUUAGUGCUUUAUGCCUUCAAAUUUCAAGACACCUUCAACUACAUAUCUUCAAGACUUCAUGUCAUCAAGCACCUGAACAGGUUCACAAGCAUAUUGACUGACUAAUAGCCCAAGGAAAAGAGGAGAAGCAGUUAGGGGAACCUAUGUGUGAAGGAAAUCCCCCUAUGCAGGAGGUUCAAGUUCUUUCUUCAAAGAGUCAUCAGAAUAACAUGGAUUGAAGAGACUUUCGAACACUUGCCAUCUCUUGCUGCUGCUGUUUCAUGAAAGGAGAUAUUAAACAUUUGUUUAAUUUUUAGUUAAGUGUUAUACAAUUUCAGCAAAUAAAAUAUUUCAGUGCUUACAUUAACCCUUAGUUUUUCAAUUUGAAAUAUAUUGACUUACAGUUUCCAUCAUAAUUUUUUUUUGCAACAUAGCCAUUUCUUUUUUAAGUUCACUUUGUGUACCAGUAAGUAGAUUAUCAUGAUUCUUCUCCAAGUCUUCCAAACUCUAAAACACAAAAGGCUAGUUCAGUUGUAAACCAUAACUUACUACCUCAAUUUCUAAACUUGUAAAAUUAAUUUUCAAAAAAAAACAUUUAAUAUUCAGAUAAUGUUCAUUAUUUAUUCCAAGUAAAAAUACAUUCUAACUAAUACAUGAAGACCAAAAUUCCCAGUAAAAAAAGUAAAAUAAAUCAGAUGUGAAUCAAAUAUAAUUAUAGAAAGCACAAUAGUAGUAUACUUUACUGGAAAGAAUGGGUUAAAGAACUAUUAAGGUCAAGAUGGAGGAAAAAAAGGAAAUGAAAGGAACUGUAAGUAAAAUAUGAUUUUGAAAAUUUCUAAUAAGUUUCUCAAACAUCAGGUUAUAACCUACUUAUUAUGUGACAUGAAUUCACUAGAGAGAAUAAAUAACCUAUAGUAUGAUUUCUUUCUUCAAGUUAUAAAAACAAAUUAUAUUUUAACUCUACUGCUCACUCAACAGUUAUCCUAGUGCCUACUAUGUAAAAAAUACUAAGUUAAGUGCUAUGGAAAAAUUUAAAAAUAAUACUUAAUUGCUUCCUUAUUCCAAAGAGAAGAAACAUAAACAAAAAUAACACCAAAGCAUUAUAACAGGAAUGGAAAUGCAGCUUACUCUGGCUAUAUAAAAGAAAAUGAGGAUUGAUUCCAAUUUAUUUGGCAAAAGAGUAAAAUUUCAAUAAAUAAAGGAGUUGAAAGUAUUCUAGAGGAAGAGUGUAAGCAAAAGCAUAGACUGUGGGUUCAGAGAAAGCAAUUAUGUAGAGGGGUGGGAGUAAUGGACAAGUGUAGUACAUGAAGCUUAAAGAGAGUCAUGUCAUAGGGAUCUCAAAGACCUAAGAAUUUAGAAUGGGAAGUAACAGAUUUUCAGGACAAAAAAGAUAUUUUUAUAAAAGAUAACAUGGCAGACGUAUAAACGAUGGCCUGGAGAACAGAGAAAUUAGUUAAGAGUUUUAAUGGUAAAAACAAAAAGUGAUAAGGCCCCGAACUAAGUUAAUAGGAGUGGGAAUUAAAAGAACAAGCGAACGAACCACUGAUGAAGAAAAAUUACAGGAUCUAGUUAUAAAUCAAAGUGAAAGGUAAAGGAGAUGGAGGGGGUCAAAGAUUAUACUUAAGUUCCUAUCCUAGGUGGUAAUGUUUAAUGAUAAAUACUUAGAAGAAAUACUUUCUAGUACUUUAUCAAACCUUCAUACCAAUUAACAAAUUAUUCUCAGGGAGCACUAGAGAAAGCAAGUUCUCUACUUGAAAAUGCUUUUAAAAAUAACUUGUGUUCAUACAAAUUAAAAAAAAAUUUUCAAAACUAUUUUACUAUUUAGACCACAACUUGCAUAUACAUCAGUAAAUAAUUCUCAAUCCACAAAUUUUUACUCUUCAGUUAUCUUGACUAUCUCUCUUUGAAGUUGGAAUAUAGUCAUUUUUGAUCACUGCAAUAAAUUGUAAAAGCAAAUAUACCAUAAAGGCUUGUAUAUUUGAAAACAAAAGAAAUACUAAGUAAUUUCAAUUGGAUCCAUUAUAUUUAAUAAAGACUGUGUAGUAAAAAUGAUUUAUACUUUCUAUUUUCAGUUAAAUAGAGAUAAUGACUUAAAUGUUAAUUGUGUGGAUUUGAUAUGUAAGUACAUUUAAAGGUAAAAUUCUCAAUUUACCAUUUUUCCUGUCUUGAAUAAUCACCACAAUUAGAUCCUAAAGUAAAGAUAUAUUUAUCACUUGUCAUAAACAAUAAACUCAAAAUGGAAAGAAGUUAAAAAUUUUAAAUGCAUAAGCAAAAUACUUUCCCCAUAAGCUUGAAAAGAAAAAAAAUCUUCUAUUUCCAUAAGUACAUUGUUUUUAAAGACUGUCUUGUUACAAAAUGUCCAUUUACCUUUACAAACUGCUCAUAUAAUUGUCUAAUUGUUUUCAGUCUUUGGUUCUGAACAAUUCUAGAUUGUUGAAAAACCUUUUGUUGUUGUCGAAACAUAUUCUACAAACAUAAAAGAAAAAACUCUGUAAUAACAAUUUGGUAAAGCUUUUUUAUUUUAUUUGUUUUUAGUGCUAGGGAUUAAACCCAGGGCUUAACACACAUGCUAGACAAGAAUUUUACCUCUGAACUAUGUCCCCAGCUCCAAAGUUUUAAAUUUAGCAAAAAAUAAUUCUACAUUGAAUUUAAAGGAUUAGUUUAUAAAUUGGUAAUUUAAAAUUUUUGUUUUAACAACUAUUAUGACUGAGCUUAGAUACUUUGUGUUUACUCCUAACAUGCAAUAAUUAUAAUAAUCCAACCAAUGAGUAGGAAAUCUUAAUCACCAAGACAUGUCUACUCUUGGUAAUUUCCAUAUCUACAUCUUCCAGUAAUGGUGAUCUUUCAGUUCUUUAAUGUAUCCUCCACCAAUGAUUCUGUCUUCCCUACUUUAGCCAAUCACUUACAUACUUCUACCCUAGAUUUUGCCAUUAUCAAUGAUAGGACCCCUUUAUAGUAUUGAUAAUGGCAAACAAAAUAUAUAUUGUCUUUGUGUCAGAUACUAUUCUGGACCCUUUUAAGCAAACUUAUAUGAACUCAUUUAAUCCUGUGAGAUAGGUAUUCAUUACUCACUUCCUCAGAUGAGGAAACUAAGAUAUAAAUAAUUUGUCCAUAGUUUCACAGGUACCAAUUGCUCAAGCCAGGAUUUGAUCUUAAAUUUUAUGCUUCCAGAGUUUGGGCACAUUGCAUAUGCAUAUUGUUUCUCCACACAUCCCAGUAUUUGAUCACCAUCUCAACAUUGUAGCAUACUCUUUUAAGUAAUACAGUUCAAUAAUGUAUCAGGACCUGAAAUCCAUUAAUUCUACCUACUUUUCACUGUCAUUCCUACUCUUGUUGUCCUUACUACUUUUGUUGUCCAUAUAAAGGACAGUUAUUCUAAUUACCCCUUUCCAUAUGUACCUUGCCUGUUUCUUACUCUGUCACACUUGAUUGGCUAAACCUCAACCCUGGAAAAGUCAACUCUCUAGCUAUUCUACCUAGAGGCAAAGACCUUCAUCAUCUGAUUAUCGUAUUUCAUUAAAGAUAGAUGCAAUCUAAACUUUCCAUCUCCCAUUAUCAUACCAAUCAUCUACCUACAUUUAUUUAUGCUUAAGAUACUCUGCAUUCUCUUCUGUUUCUAAGGAUGAAUUAUCCUUACUCCCUACUAAAGCCAACUUCUACACAUGUCCCACCCACUCUGAAGAAUUCAUCAAAUGCUCCCCGGUUAUUUUAAAUGUGUCCCUCUAAAUUAUUCCUGCCUGUACACAAACAUGUUGUUAUUUCUCUUAUCUUAAAGAAAUAAAACCCUAUUUUUCUCCUCAGGUCACCAUAUUUCUUUGUCAUUCUGUCUAGUACUCAUUCUAAUCAGAUUUUUGCACCCACUUUUCCACCAAAAUCAUUCUGAUCCAAGACACCAAUGUCCUCCACAUUGCCAAAUUCACCCUUUUUGGCCUAUAAGCAGCAUUUAAAAGAAGUAAUUCUUUUUCUUUCUUAAAAAGCUUGCUUUAUUUGGCCUAGAGUGGUUUACAUACUACAUAUUGGGUCAAUCAUAACUGUUUCCUUUGCUGGUUCCCCCUUACUCUCAUAACUCUAAACUUUCAAGCAAAAUUUAUAAUUUAUAACUUACAAUCACUACUUUAUCUCAUCCAGUCUUCUUGGCUUAAAAACUGUCUUUAAGCUAAUUCUCAACUUUGUAUCUUUAGCCUCUCUCUCCUGAACUCUAGACCAAUACACCAGUGACCUGUGCGCCUCUCCUUGGAUGUUUCCUGUGCGUUUCAAAUUUAACUUUUCCAAAUAGAGCUAAUAAGCAACCAGCUCCUAAACCAGUAGCUCAGCUCUUAAAGAAUGUCUGAUAAUUAUAAACAAUGAAAGGAUAAAUUCAAAGAGCAGUUAAUACAGUUAUAAAUUUUUGAGUAGGGCUGACUUCUAUCUUCCAUAUGGACAGGCAGGUAACACAAGUCUGACCGUUAAGAAGCAACCAUGUUCUAGGUAGGGCUAUAUAGCUCAGUGACAGAGUGCUUGCCUUGCAUGUAUAUAGGCCAUGGGUUCAAUCUCCAGCAUCUCAAAUUUUAAAAAAGAAAAAAAAAAGUAAAGUGUAUUCUGAUUAUAGUGAUUAGUUCAGGAAUGGGCAACUAAAUUGGUUAUAUUCCUCCAAAGGAAUUUUCUGCCAGAGCUAGUGAUAAAGAUCAUCUCAAUUCACUGCAGUUACAAAAUUUGCAAAAAAAUGUAGUAAGUCUAGAACUGGGG